CCUACGGGAGGCAGCAGUGGGGAAUAUUGCACAAUGGGGGGAACCCUGAUGCAGCGACGCCGCGGGGGUGAAGGAGUAUUUCGGUAUGUAAAGCCCUAUCAGCAGGGAAGAACAAUGACGGUACCUGACUAAGAAGCACCGGCUAAAUACGUGCCAGCAGCCGCGGUAAUACGUAUGGUGCAAGCGUUAUCCGGAUUUACUGGGUGUAAAGGGAGCGCAGGCGGCGCGUUAAGCCUGGUGUGAAAGUCCGCGGCCCAACCGCGGGACUGCAUUGGGAACUGGCGCGCUGGAGUGCCGGAGGGGUAGGCGGAAUUCCUAGUGUAGCGGUGAAAUGCGUAGAUAUUAGGAGGAACACCAGUGGCGAAGGCGGCCUACUGGACGGUGACUGACGCUGAGGCUCGAAAGCGUGGGGAGCAAACAGGAUUAGAUACCCCAGUAGUC
RNAcentral lists this ribosomal RNA (441 nucleotides) under uncultured bacterium. RNAcentral describes it as "partial 16S ribosomal RNA". It matches the Rfam family "Bacterial small subunit ribosomal RNA", at positions 338 to 795 of the family's 1533-position model. The record is from RNAcentral.